This 439-nucleotide ribosomal RNA is filed under the name uncultured bacterium. RNAcentral's name for it is "bacterial SSU rRNA". It matches the Rfam family "Bacterial small subunit ribosomal RNA", at positions 958 to 1398 of the family's 1533-position model. The record is from RNAcentral.
AACGCGAAGAACCUUACCUGGGCUUGAACCGCACAGGACCAUCUUUGGAAACAGAGACUUCCCGCAAGGGACCUGUGUAGAGGUGCUGCAUGGCUGUCGUCAGCUCGUGCCGUGAGGUGUUGGGUUAAGUCCCGCAACGAGCGCAACCCUUACUCGUAGUUGCUACCUGCAAAGGAGAACUCUACGAGGACUGCUCCGGAUAACGGAGAGGAAGGUGGGGAUGACGUCAAGUCAGCACGGCCUUUAUGUCCAGGGCUACACACGUGUUACAAUGCAUGGUACAGACUGUUGCGAACCCGCGAGGGGGAGCUAAUCGGACAAAGCCAUGCUCAGUUCGGAUUGCAGUCUGCAACUCGGCUGCAUGAAGCUGGAAUCGCUAGUAAUGGCGUAUCAGAUCGACGCCGUGAAUACGUUCCCGGGCUUGUACACACCGAGUAUA